RNAcentral lists this ribosomal RNA (784 nucleotides) under Cyphastrea salae. RNAcentral's name for it is "eukaryotic LSU rRNA". It matches the Rfam family "Eukaryotic large subunit ribosomal RNA", at positions 35 to 636 of the family's 3401-position model. Lineage: Eukaryota; Metazoa; Cnidaria; Anthozoa; Scleractinia; Merulinidae. The record is from RNAcentral.
UAAGCAUAUUAAUAAGCGGAGGAAAAGAAACUAACAAGGAUUCCCUCAGUAACGGCGAGUGAAGCGGGAAGAGCUCAAAUUUGAAAUCUCCGAUGCUUGCAUCGGCGAGUUGUAGUUGCGAGAAGCACUUUCUAGGCGGAUCGGCGGUGCCUAAGUUGCUUGGAACAGCACGUCACAGAGGGUGACAACCCCGUCUGUGGCGCCGCCGGCCGCCCACGAUGUGCUUUCGAAGAGUCGGGUUGUUUGGGAAUGCAGCCCAAAAUGGGUGGUAAACUCCAUCUAAAGCUAAAUACUGGCGUGAGACCGAUAGCGAACAAGUACCGUGAGGGAAAGAUGAAAAGAACUUUGAAAAGAGAGUUAAAAAGUACGUGAAACCGUUGAAAGGGAAACGAAUGGGCUCAGCAAUGCGCCCUUUGAGAUUCAGCCGGCGGGUGGGAUCGGCGCCGGGUUUGCGGAUCUGAAUGGACCGCGGCCCGGCGCUCGGUUUUCUCCUCGCCGUCGCACUUCUCUUGGGCGCGCGUCAACGUCGGUUGGGACUGGGUCUGAAAGGUGCCGGGAAGGUAGGUGUGGGCCUCCGGGUCCGUGCUGUUACAGCCCGGUUCUCUCAUGGCUCGGGCCCGACCGAGGAGUGUUUGCAGGGCAUGCCUCCUGUGGCUAGGGUCCCGCCCUUCCGGCCGGUUGUUUUUUUUCCAAUGCCGUGGACUGCUUGCAGUGCUCGGCGAUGGCUGCCGGUCGUUGGGACGGUGAUCUCGUACCAUGCCCUUAGGAUGUUGGCGGUCAUAUG